Molecule: small RNA, 408 nt
Filed under: uncultured Entrophospora
Lineage: Eukaryota; Fungi; Glomeromycota; Glomeromycetes; Entrophosporales; Entrophosporaceae
Description: SSU rRNA
Rfam family: Eukaryotic small subunit ribosomal RNA
Source: RNAcentral
AGCAGCCGCGGUAAUUCCAGCUCCAAUAGCGUAUAUUAAAGUUGUUGCAGUUAAAAAGCUCGUAGUUGAAUUUCGGGGUCAGUAGGUCGGUCGUGCCACAGGUAUGCACUGGUCUCACUGAUUCCUCCUUCCUGAUGAACCGUAAUGCCAUUAAUUUGGUGUUGCGGGGAGACGGGACUGUUACUUUAGAAAAAUUAGAGUGUUUAAAGCAGGCUAACGCUUGAAUACAUUAGCAUGGAAUAACGGAAUAGGACGUUCGAUCUUAUUUUGUUGGUUUCUAAGAUUGACGUAAUGAUUAAUAGGGAUAGUUGGGGGCAUUAGUAUUCAAUUGUCAGAGGUGAAAUUCUUGGAUUUAUUGAAGACUAACUACUGCGAAAGCAUUUGCCAAGGAUGUUUUCAUUAAUCAAG